CUGAUGCAGCGACGCCGCGNUGGGGGAUGAAGGCCUUCGGGUUGUAAACCCCUUUCAGCAGGGAAGAAGCGAAAGUGACGGUACCUGCAGAAGAAGCGCCGGCUAACUACGUGCCAGCAGCCGCGGUAAUACGUAGGGCGCAAGCGUUGUCCGGAAUUAUUGGGCGUAAAGAGCUCGUAGGCGGUUUGUCGCGUCUGCUGUGAAAUCCUGAGGCUCAACCUCGGGCUUGCAGUGGGUACGGGCAGACUAGAGUGCGGUAGGGGUGACUGGAAUUCCUGGUGUAGCGGUGGAAUGCGCAGAUAUCAGGAGGAACACCGAUGGCGAAGGCAGGUCACUGGGCCGCAACUGACGCUGAGGAGCGAAAGCAUGGGGAGCGAACAGGAUUAGAUACCCUGGUAGUCCAUGCCGUAAACGUUGGGCACUAGGUGUGGGGCUCAUUCCACGAGUUCCGUGCCGCAGCAAACGCAUUAAGUGCCCCGCCUGGGGAGUACGGCCGCAAGGCUAAAACUCAAAG
This 514-nucleotide ribosomal RNA is filed under the name uncultured Actinomycetes bacterium. RNAcentral describes it as "bacterial SSU rRNA". It matches the Rfam family "Bacterial small subunit ribosomal RNA", at positions 383 to 906 of the family's 1533-position model. The record is from RNAcentral. Lineage: Bacteria; Bacillati; Actinomycetota; Actinomycetes.